GAUGAAGAACGCAGCGAAAUGCGAUAAGUAGUGUGAAUUGCAGACUUUAGUGAAUCAUCGAAUCUUUGAACGCACAUUGCGCCCGCCAGUAUUCUGGCGGGCAUGCCUGUCUGAGCGUCAUUUCAACCCUCAGCCCCCGCUCGCGGGGCGCUGGCGUUGGGGAUCGGCCGUCCUCGCGGCGGCCGGCCCCGAAACACAGUGGCGGUCUCUCGCGGACUCCCCUGCGUAGUAGCACUACCUCGCAGAAGGGACGAGCGGGCUGACCACGCCGUAAAACCCCCCACUUCUCCAGGUUGACCUCAGAUCAGGUAGGAAUACCCGCUGAACUUAAGCAUAUCAAUAAGCGGAGGA
Molecule: unclassified non-coding RNA, 351 nt
Filed under: soil metagenome
Description: partial contains 5.8S ribosomal RNA, internal transcribed spacer 2, and large subunit ribosomal RNA
Rfam family: 5.8S ribosomal RNA (bases 1-120)
Source: RNAcentral